GGAAGGUGCGGCUGGAUCACCUCCUUUCU
Molecule: non-coding RNA, 29 nt
Filed under: Geobacillus stearothermophilus
Lineage: Bacteria; Bacillati; Bacillota; Bacilli; Caryophanales; Anoxybacillaceae
Also listed under: 3 other names
Source: RNAcentral